AUAAAAUGGAAAAAAACACCUGAGGGAAACAUGAGGCCAGGGAACAGAAGCCUUGAACAGAAACGAAAAGGAGAAACAGCAUUAAUACAGCACAAAUGAUCAGUCACUCUCCUAUUUACUGCAGAAGGUGUUUCCUCCAGGAGAGAAGUUUAUUAAUUUACUCACUUGAGAACGUCAGGAAACCUGGUAGGUUGUAGCUCUAGCAAGAAGCAGAAGUUAGUUUUAUUUAAAAGUUAUGUAUUUCUUCAGUUACUGGGGUCGAAAAAGAAAAAAAAAUCCAGACAAAAUAGAAACUACAACAGAAAGGAGGAAAAAAAAAAAAAAGAUGGAAAGGAAUUCACAGUCAACCAAAGGAAAACUCAGAAGACGGAAUAAGUACAAGUUCUGUAUGUUUUGGUUUUCGCUUCCAUUCCUCCUUGCUUUUUUCCAGCACCUCUUCACCAUCCCUUUUACUGUUUAUUUGGGGUUGGGUCAGUGUAGCACUGAUCGCAUGUUAAAGGAGUGUAUGGUUAUCUCUGCAAGCCAUAACAAGGACUGGGAUCUAGUUUGCUUUGGGUGUAGGGCUGUGGGGAACUAGCUUUGGUUACCUAGGUAGCUGCCUCUCUCAGCCUCACUAGGGCCUGCAAACCAUUUGCUUCCUUAUUGGCUUUCCUAAAUUUGCCUUUGGUUUUCCCUGUCAUCUCUAAAGUCACAGGCCUUCUUCUUUUCACUGGCAUUUCCCUGAGGUUAUCUAGAUAUCCAUCUAUACCAGCUUAUUUAAAUGCAUUGGCUUCUGCAAGGGCCUGUUGUUUUAUGUGUACCUUAGAAGCUGAUUUAAGUUAUACUUUCUCUUAACUGUUCAAGCCAAGCUUGGGAAACAACAACAAAAAAAAGCUGUGUAAAACUGCUGGAGGAGGGAAAUUAGAAGGCACCGAGUUUGUCAGUCUAAAGGAUCCUGGCAGUAUGGGCCUCGUCUGGUUGCCCUCCUUGGGUUUUCUAGGUCCCUGGUUUGCAUAAGGGCAGUCAUGUGUUAACAAACAAAAGGUACAGCUAGCCAAAUACUCCUGCCUUUCAGACAAUGAAUUAACUAUUUAGGCAAGGAAUGCCUUUAAAAAAACAAAACAAAACAAAAACAUAAGAACAAGGUGAGCUUAAACAAUGCCUCAACAUCUAGGUUGAGUAUUUUCUGACUCUAUAUGACCUUCUAGCCAUAUGUAAUGGAUUGAUAAUUAGUAAUCCUCACCAGACUUGUCUUCCACAGACCUGUCUAGUUUCCCCUGGAGCAUGUAAAAACCUUUAACAUCUCAUGGUAAGGAAUUCCCCUGAGGGUCACUCCUUUCGUGGAAAAAACAAACCCUGCUUUGCUGGUUCUGAACUCAGUUCCUGCUAACUUCAACUAUUUCUCACCCGUUUUCUACGGGUUAUAAUUUUAUCAUCUGUUGUGUAUCCCACUUGUCAAUUCCUUUUCAGGAUGAGUCAUCUUUUAUGUAGCUUAUCAUUGUUAGGCUUUCCUUAAAGUUUCUUUUCCACUGUAUUUUUAGUCCUUGAAGGCUCAAAUUUAGAGGGAAGGGCAGACAAUGACUGCAGGUUUGAUGCAGAAGUGAAUAUAAACUUGGAAACUGAUUUGCACUAUAGCUCUCUUUUUAUUGGUCACAUACAUUUCUUUUUCAAGUAACUGUAAUUAUAAUGUAUGGAUAGAUAGCAGGAUUUGUAUUGAAACAGUAUGUUCUUGUAGUAAACUUAGAAAACUUUUUUUUCCAAGUGAUACAGUGAAGCACAUGAUUCAUUGAUGUCAGUCAUGUAUAUGCAUGGCUGUCAUCGUGGAAAGCAGGGAGUUAAACGGCAAGUGGGAGGACACUGCUGAGUGGCAUAUAGGAAAGUGCUGAUCAGCUUAAAGCGGAAACUCACUCAUUUAGAGUACACACCUGAGCAUGUGCUGGGUGAUGAGGGCAUGGCCCAGGCCCAAGGAAGAGAGGUCCAAAAUAAUGCUGAUGAAUUGCUGUGGCAGGCCUAAAGGCGUUCCUUUUAUGCUGUGCUGAGUUCUGAGGCUAUGCCGUGGGGUACAAAGGAGGAUUGCAGGAGAGUGUGGGAAAUGGAGACAGGCUCUAACUGCAGAAGCCUGCAGCAUUCACAGGGGAGUUUGUGUACUGCAGUCUCCGACAGAAUUGUUUCAUAAAGCGAGUGAUUCAGAACUUCUUCCUUCAGGGUGGGGCAGUAAGUACUUUACUGGAUUGCUUAAAAUGAUAAAGCCAAACCAUGACUAAUAUACAAAAAAAAAAAACAAACCCAAACUCACCCUACAUCUGAGAUGUAAGUAACUGAAAUUUUAUUCAGAAUGUACUUAUACUAUGGGUAUGAAGAAUAAAUGCUUGUCUUUAAAUAAUGAACAAUUUAUGCCGCAGUCUAUUUUUAGUUAACCGGGCCUCUGUUACAGUACAGUCAGCCUGGUUGUCCAUUGUUUGUUCUCUCCAUGUGUUUUCUUAAUUCAUUGAUACAUAUCCCUCUGCAGACUGCCAAGCUUUCUUCUUUACAAACAUCAAAAUUAAAUGCAUUAACCUGGCGGGUCUUCAGAAGGGAAAGCACUGGGCUUAGACAAAGAAGAACUGAUUGCUCUAGAUGCUGAUGGCCAUUGUCAGGCCUUACUGCCAGGCUGCCUGUUCUAUUAACAUGGAGAAGUGCUGUUGUACCCUGUGUUAUCGGAAACCAGUAGAACUUGUAAACAAGCUCUUCCACUUAUUCUUUGUAUGAUUCAAAUAUAAUUUGCAGUUGUGAAUCACU
Molecule: long non-coding RNA, 2757 nt
Organism: Numida meleagris (helmeted guineafowl)
Lineage: Eukaryota; Metazoa; Chordata; Aves; Galliformes; Numididae
Exons: 2
Source: RefSeq, a predicted model, not a curated record